Molecule: non-coding RNA, 67 nt
Organism: Potamilus streckersoni
Lineage: Eukaryota; Metazoa; Mollusca; Bivalvia; Unionida; Unionidae
Source: the annotation of a GenBank genome assembly
GUGGCUUAGUGUUUUGAGCAUCCGCCUCGAAUGCAGGAGAUUGCGGGUUCAAAGCCCGGCAGUUUCA